Manis javanica (Malayan pangolin) is the source of this 4622-nucleotide long non-coding RNA. RefSeq lists it as uncharacterized. Lineage: Eukaryota; Metazoa; Chordata; Mammalia; Pholidota; Manidae. The record is from RefSeq and is a predicted model, not a curated record.
AUGCAGAUGUCCAGGCAGAGGCAGUGGGGUACCGGCGCCAAGCAGCAAAGGUGGGCCGGGGAGCCAGUCAGGGCUUGCGGAGGGAGGCAGGGACGUCAGCAUCCGCCUCUCCACCUGGAGGCACCAGCCUCGUGUUUACAGUAAUGCCUCAUUCUGCCUCCCGCCCCAAGUUGGAAACGGCCUUGUUCCUCUCUGACUCAAGCCCCUGCAGCCUUUUGGAUUUUUCAGAUGAAACCCCACUUCAUGCCGGGACCAACUGCAAGUGGCAGCUUCGGCAUUUCUCUAGCGGCGGAGCCAGAGGGGGCCUGGCAGGGGAGAAGGUCCCCAGGGCUUCUCCUCAGGGCCUGGUCUUAGAAGUCGGCUCAUGUGACGGUGGGGUCUGGCGAGUCUGGGACCUGGCGGCGGGCCGCAGGCUCAGGAGCAGAUGCUGCAGACCAGAGGCAGGAGUCCUGCCCCGCCAGGAGAGCCUCAGCCUUGGCUCAGCACGCCCGUCAACUUCUCGGGUGAGGCCCACCCACGAUCUCGAGGAAAACCCCCCUCCAGGUCGGCUGGUGGUGGAUGCUGCCCGCAUUGGAGAACCCCUCCCGGCCUCACCCAUACACAGCCGCCGCCCCAGCCCUGUGGCGCGCCCCCCACCCACCGCUGCCUCUCGGCCAGGCCUCCGUCCUCUCCUGCGACUCGGCAAACAGUCGCCUCUUCCUGGGACCCACUGCUCCAUCCGCUCAUCUCAGCUUUAAAAAAAAAUUAUAACCAUUUUUUUCUCUUCGAUAUAUUUUUUGGCAACAUAUUUGAUAUACAAUAUCACACUGGUUUCGAACGUACAUCAUAGUGACUUGGUAAUUCUCACCAACCCCGGCUUUUAACCCAGACUGGUGCCAAUGUACGUCCUUCAAAGACAAGACGCCUGUGUCCACUUCUCAGGUCAGAACAUGUUGAUGGUUUCACUGCGCUCUUUAGGUAAAGGUUCCAGUUCCUGAUUCAGAUCCGAAAGCACUCUAAGCUCCCGGGUUUCUACGCACGAGGGGCCGGGGCCCCCGGCUGGGGAUGUGUGAUGUGUGUAGACUUGAGAGCGCUGUCCUGACAAAGCGCCCCAGGCCGGUGGCCUGUCCGGUGCUCCUUUCCUUGCAUCCUCACGUGAUGUCCCUGGGUGCGCCCAAAUCUCUUCCGACAAGGACCCACUCAGUUUGGGUGAAGGCGGGCCACCCUAACCUCAUUUUACCCCGGCCACCUCGGCGAAGAGGUAUCUCCAAGUAAGCUUACGCUCUGGGUGCUGGGAGUUAGGACACCAACGUAGGAAUUCGGGGGCAGACGAUUCGACCCAUAACAGGAAGUAAGGAACUAUUUGCUGUGAGGCUGUGUUUCCACCUAGUUAUUAGCGAUUAUGCAAAGUAGGCAUGAGUUACAAUGCUCUGUGUAAUCGUGAUACAACAAUGCAGGCAAGCCCUGUGAGGGGAGGGGUGUGGGUGAGCUUCAUUCGCACAGACGUGGUCAGCCAAGGCAAUAACAAUCGGUUCUUCCAUUGAUUUGGCUUUGAACUGAACUCAUUACAGAAAUGGAAUUAUAGAAUUCAGAAUACAGAAGCAUAUUCAAGAUUAGGCUGGAAUCAGAACUGAACAUCAAUGGAACCAGAAAAUAACGAAGAGGAAGUAUUUCCAUUGCCCGUCACCCCAAGGAAACACCCCAAAUGCUAACAACAAAAUCAGGAGCAACCAGAACCCGGUGUUUUUUAUGAUUUGGAAAUGAAAGUCUCUAAGGCAUUGGCCAGCCUGUGCUAUUUCUGAGAAAACCAUGCCCUUCCUGGGUUGGGAUGGCAACCUCCCCCACUGCCUGGAUCCCAGCCGGGCAUUCUGCUCACGAGUCAGAGAGGAAAUCCGUGCUGGUUGCUGAACUGAAGUGUUAUCUGGAAGUUGACAUUCCAAUCACUUCUUCUCAGGGGCCGUGCGUAUCCAGCCAGAAGCGUCAUUCCCUCCUGACCCACAUCCUCCUGGAGCCCCGGGAGCUGGGGGCCCCCCCUGGGAAGGGAGGUAGCACCAAGGCUGGGGGCCGGGCCCGGGGGGUCUCUGCGUUCCCACCUCAUCACAAGCGGGACUCCAGACCCACUGAAUAUGUCUACGUAGAGCAGGGAGACAUGCACACUGGGAGAAAUGUCCACGCUGUGCAUGCAGUCCACACAGUCACCUACAGUUUGUGACUAUGAGUCCGUGAGAAAAAGACGAAUGUCAAAAAGGGAAGGGCUCCCGGAUCCGGGCCCAGCACAGAAAGCCAAAUGCAAAGAAAGAUGACAGACGGUCCAUCUUGUUUGUCAUUCAAAAACUGGGCAGCCAAACCAAAAGGGGGCGAAUCUCUUUCCAAUUGCCAAGAAUGAAAACAAAAGCGUACAAUGGUUUAGGUCUGCAAAUACCUGGGAGAAAUCUUGAAACACUGGUGGAAAAGCUGGAUGUUGACAGCAUUAUUUAUGACAGCUGCACAUUGGAAGCAGCCCACAGAUGGAUCCAUUACCAGGAAAAUAGAUAAAUAAUUCGUGGUCUGUCCACAUCAUGGAGCACGACUGAGCCAUAAGGAGGAAAGGUUAGUUAUCUAACAAUAUUACUGAACAGAACGUUGAUACAUGUAACUAUCUGGAUGGAUCUUGAAAACAUGAUUCCUAGUUAAGGAAAGGUCAAACACAUAAUAGGGGAUGACACCACAUACAUGAAAUUCCAGAAAGGCAAAUAAAUCUACAGCGGCCGAGAGCAAAUCAGAGGUUGCUGGGUGAGGGGGGCAGUAGAGGGGGGCCUCAGGCAAAGGGGUGCAGGGUGUAAUUAAAUGUUCUGUAUUGCAGUUAUGAUGUUUGUUAUAUGACUGUACCAUCACUAACAUGUAUCAAACUGCACACUAAAAAUGGGGAAAUCGCACUCUGUGUUAAUUAUACCUCAACAAAUCCAAAGGAUAUUUUUAAAAUUUCAACUUCAUAAAUCUGUGUUCCAUGAUGAGGGGAUUGUUCUUAUGGCACAGCAAGCUGGGGUGCAGUGGGAGUUGGGGGACAAACACACCCUCCCUCUGCAGACUCCAGUCUACCACCGCGGUCGGCUAGGCGGGGUUCUGGAACCCGCAGGCGAUUGACCGCAGAGCCUAGAAAUGUUGUUCUCUGCAGCCUCUGUUUCCAUGGCACCACCAGUUGGAGCUCGAAUCUGCGGGUCAGAGCGGCUCGGGGCCCUGGAGGCAGAGAGGAGGAAGGGCUCAAGGCUGCGGUCUCCUCCAUCAGCACUUACAGGAUGGUUUUUGUGUACAUUAAAAUAUGUUGGGAUGGUGCUAGGAAAGGGGAGGCAGGGAGCCUCUGCUCGAGUGAGGAUUCGUGCUCCAACAGAAGCCAGCUGUGGCCAGCUUCAACAGGUGGGCAAGCUACUGCAGAAUCGUGGGUAGGUCCCAGACUCCCAGGCGGCCACACACCGAGGCUGGGAGGGGCCGCUAGCAGACGGACAUCUUCCGGACCUUGGGUGGGCUGUCCGCGAUUCUUCUCGCUGCUGUCUCCUCCGCUCCCUGGUCUCUUAGCUUGCUUCUCCUUGACCCCAGCACCUCAGUGCACAGCCCAGGCCUCCCAUGGAGCUGCAGACACUCCAUGCAGUACAGGGCUUGGCAUUUCCAUCUCCACUGCUCUCACCUCACAAUGGAUCACAUCAACAGUGGAAAACUGACUGUCACACAUCAGAUCAAAUUUCUCUCCAAAAUACACCUUCUGCCUCCACGCACUCCUGAUCGACUCCUCCCACAUCCUCCCCACCCUCUCCUAAAGCCCUGCCCUCAUGUUGGCCGAACUCCACAGCACGGUUUCAAAAAAGCCACUUAAAAAUAUCUUUUCUGGAAAAUGUCCAAGUUUUAUUUUAUACAUAACAUUUUUCUGUGUAUGUCAUUUGUAAAUAAAUCAAUAAAAGUAUGUUGGAAGAAUCAUAUCUGUGCAUGCUAGCGGCUGUGGCCAGCUCCCCUGCUAAUCUCACUGCUUCCCUUCCUGCCUCCUUCCCUGAGGCCAGAGUGAUCUUCCUACGGUGUAUCCUUAACCACUGACAGCUUUCUGAGCUGGAUUGGUUUUGGCACGAUUCCUCCAGUUACCACCUACAUCACUCUUACGCCGUCUCUAUUUUCUCUGAUUCCACUGCACCCAUAUAUCCACGGAAUUCAAUCUGUCACAGGAAGACCAGACCAGUCUUACCCAAAAUGGAUGCAUAUAUACAAGGUUCUCAGUGGACAUUUUCAUAAGGAAGAUACACUAAUAGCCAAUAAGCACUUGAAAUGAUGUUCAAGAUACUUGGCCACUAAGAAAAUUCAAAUCACAACCACCGUGAGAUGCUGCUGUAUACCCACUGGGAUGUCUAUAAUAAAAAAGACAAAUUACGGCAAGUGUUGGCAAGGCUGUGGGUGAGGAAAUUGGAAACCUUGUAAAUGCUGGUGGGGAUAAAAAAUGGUGCAGCUAGCUGCUUUGGAAAACAGUCUGGCAGUCCCUCAAAAGUUUAAAUAUAGAGCUACCAUAUGACCCAGCAAGACUGCUGCCAGGUGUGCACCCCAGGGAAGUGAACAUAUCCACACAAAAACCUGAACAUAAAUGUUCACAGCAGCAUUAUUUGCAACAGCCAAGAAAUGAAAACAGC